Molecule: unclassified non-coding RNA, 264 nt
Filed under: Cladophialophora chaetospira
Lineage: Eukaryota; Fungi; Ascomycota; Eurotiomycetes; Chaetothyriales; Herpotrichiellaceae
Description: partial contains 5.8S ribosomal RNA, internal transcribed spacer 2, and large subunit ribosomal RNA
Source: RNAcentral
CGCACAUUGCGCCCUUUGGUAUUCCGAAGGGCAUGCCUGUUCGAGCGUCAUUAUCACCCCUCAAGCCCCGUGCUUGGUGUUGGACGGCCUGGUCGAGCGAUCGACCCCUCCUAAAGACAAUGACGGCGGCCUGUGGUUCCCCCGGUACACUGAGCUUUCUGAGCACGUAUCGGAUCAAGGGCGCCCGGGACCCGGUCCUCUCCUUUCACUAGGAAACUUCUCAAGGUUGACCUCGGAUCAGGUAGGAAUACGCGCUGAACUUAA